UCCGAAGGGUGCAAGCGUUACUCGGAAUUACUGGGCGUAAAGCGUGCGUAGGUGGUGAGUUAAGUCUGUCGUGAAAGCCCCGGGCUCAACCUGGGAAUGGCGAUGGAUACUGUCUCGCUAGAGUGCGGUAGAGGAGAGUGGAAUUCCCGGUGUAGCAGUGAAAUGCGUAGAGAUCGGGAGGAACAUCAGUUGCGAAGGCGGCUCUCUGGACCAGCACUGACACUGAGGCACGAAAGCGUGGGGAGCAAACAGG
Molecule: ribosomal RNA, 253 nt
Filed under: uncultured bacterium
Lineage: Bacteria
Description: partial 16S ribosomal RNA
Rfam family: Bacterial small subunit ribosomal RNA
Source: RNAcentral